GACGAACUGUGCAAACGUUAUUCGGAAUCACUGGGCUUGAAGAGUGCGUAGGCGGUUUUGUAAGUAGGGUGUGAAAGCCCCCGGCUCAACCGGGGAAUUGCGCCCUAAACUGCAAGGCUUGAGUGAGGUAGGGGUGUGUGGAACUGCGAGUGUAGAGGUGAAAUUCGUAGAUAUUCGCAAGAACACCAGUGGCGAAGGCGGCUCACUGGCCCGAUACUGACGCUGAGGUGCGAAAGCGUGGGGAGCAAACAGG
This 253-nucleotide ribosomal RNA is filed under the name uncultured bacterium. Its description in RNAcentral is "partial 16S ribosomal RNA". It matches the Rfam family "Bacterial small subunit ribosomal RNA", at positions 524 to 776 of the family's 1533-position model. The record is from RNAcentral.